CUUACAACUCCAAGAGGUAGGUGUUAUAAUUAUCCCUAUUUUACAGAUAAAGAAAGUCAAUCAGAAAUUUUAACAUAAUGUGCCAAAAUCACACUGCUGAUCAUCCUGAUAAGCCAGGAUUCAGGACCAGAAAUUCUGGUGCAUGUGUGCACACACACGCACACGCACGCACACACACACACACACACACAAAAUAAGAGAUAAAAUGGCUAAGUUGGAAAUUGGUGUUGCCAACUUGGCUGGAACCCAGAUACCCUUCUAAUUGACUGUGUGCCUUGUGCAGGAUACCUAAUCUGUCUGAGUCUCAGUCUCUCCCUCUAUAGUGAUUAAAAAAAAAAAAAAAAAAAAAACUGUCUGACUUUUAUGAUUCCAGUAAGAAUUCAGAUGAUGUACAUACAACACAUAGUAAAUGCUCAAAUGAUUUUUUGCUAUGACAAUAAGAAGAAAAGUAUUAAUAAAAAUGAUAGCUAUUAUAUAAGUUACGUGUUUAAAGCAAUACCCAGCUCUUAGCUAGCUAUCAAGAUAUAUUACUUUCACUCCCUUUUCAAGGGACAUACUGAAUAUCACCAUAACAGAAAUAUUUCUAACCAGGAUUAUAGAAUAACCUGAAGAAAACAGACCAAGCAUCCCAAGGGGAGACAAAUAGAUGAGGAUGCAAGAAAGGAAUCACUUCCCCAGAGAGAAUUUUUCCACAGUGUGAUAUGGAAAUAAAGGAGCUAGCUAUUCAUGUUUAGCAGAUGCAAAAAAAUUUUCAGAAUGAUGCAAUAUUGGAGUCAAUACCUCUAAUCUCUCAAGGGGUUUGUAUUCUUUUUCAAACCGUUACAUUCUGUUCAAUUACUUUCUUUUCUUUCCAGGGUUGAGAACAUCUAUUAAGAUUUCACAGGGUUUGGAAUGCCAAUGCUGCAGACGGAAACCAAGCCAAGAUAACUGUCAAACCCCAAAUGUAACCAGAAGAGGGGGCAACAAACAGAAGCCAUAUAAAGAUUCCUGCUGCUUACCUGACCUUGACAACCUUCUCCAUGGACCUCUAUGUCCUCUGGACUCUUCUUGUCGUCUGCCUCAAAUACAGAGCGACUAUUCUACAUCUGUAGUUUAUCUAUGGAUGAUGGAGAACAAACUGUUAUUGCUAACAAUUCCACAGAGAUGGCUUAAUUUCAACUUAAACAGCAACCUUCUGUUAAGUAUUAAAAAGGUGUUCAGGACAACAGUGACAAAAGUGAGACUGGUAUAAAGAUAAUAAGCAUCAUGAAUAAUAAUCACACUCAAAUCCUUGUCAUCUUCAAGACAUUGGAGAAAUGGAUAUGGAGAAGAGCUAACAAAAUAUCAAGAAAAGCAGAACUAGUUGAUAAUGUAAGUGAAUCAAAUGAACAGUCAACAACAAAAGUCGUGUCUAAUGCCCCGCCGGCUUUACAUAAACAAAAGAAAAUUAUUAUGUUGAAAAAUUGGGUCCAGAGGUAAUGUGCAUUGUUACUGGAUAUACUAUUAAAUUCAUGAAAAAUGAAAUCCUUCUCAAACACACACAGAAAAAUUGAUAAAUGAAUAUUUGUGAAGAAGAAAAGCAUUAAAUCAAUGAAGGGAACUGAUAUUCAAUUUCCAAAUUUUUUUCCUAAACAAUGCAAAUUAAACAAGAAAAAGUUUAAAGUAGAAUAAGGAAAGAAGACUUGGCACCAACUCUUAAGCUUUUCUCAAAGCCUUGCUGCUCUGAGAACCAGCCUCAUAGCUCUACAUCGUUUUAAAUACUUAUUUUUAAAAAUUACAAAGCACAAUGUCUUAAAUUUCCAGUUAAAUAUAAACUGAAUG
This 1800-nucleotide long non-coding RNA is filed under the name Papio anubis (olive baboon). RNAcentral describes it as "lncRNA (ENSPANG00000040272.1)". Lineage: Eukaryota; Metazoa; Chordata; Mammalia; Primates; Cercopithecidae. The record is from RNAcentral.